Small nuclear RNA from Nannospalax galili (Upper Galilee mountains blind mole rat), 107 nucleotides. Lineage: Eukaryota; Metazoa; Chordata; Mammalia; Rodentia; Spalacidae. The record is from Ensembl.
GUGCUCCCGUCGGCAGCACAUACAAUAAAAUAGGAACCAUACAGAGAAAGUGAACUUGGCUCCUGGGCAAGGAUGACACCCAGAUUUGUGAAGCAUUCCAUAUUGUU